CCGUAGCCCAAGAGAUCGGGAUAACACCUGGAAACAGAUGCUAAUACCGGAUAACAACAGAUGAUGCCUAUCAACUGUUUAAAAGAUGGUUCUGCUAUCACUCGUGGAUGGACCUGCGGUGCAUUAGCUAGUUGGUAGGGUAACGGCCUGCCAAGGCGAUGAUGCAUAGCCGAGUUGAGAGACUGAUCGGCCACAUUGGGACUGAGACACGGCCCAAACUCCUACGGGAGGCAGCAGGC
This 239-nucleotide ribosomal RNA is filed under the name uncultured Lactobacillus sp. RNAcentral describes it as "partial 16S ribosomal RNA". It matches the Rfam family "Bacterial small subunit ribosomal RNA", at positions 125 to 354 of the family's 1533-position model. The record is from RNAcentral. Lineage: Bacteria; Bacillati; Bacillota; Bacilli; Lactobacillales; Lactobacillaceae.